GACGAACGCUGGCGGCGUGCUUAACACAUGCAAGUCGAACGGAAAGGCCCUAGCUUGCUAGGGUGCUCGAGUGGCGAACGGGUGAGUAACACGUGGGUGAUCUGCCUUGUACUCUGGGAUAAGCUUGGGAAACUGGGUCUAAUACCGGAUAGGAACUGCCUUUAGUGUGGUGGUUGGAAAGUUUUUUCGGUGCAAGAUGAGCUCGCGGCCUAUCAGCUUGUUGGUGGGGUAAUGGCCUACCAAGGCGUCGACGGGUAGCCGGCCUGAGAGGGUGUACGGCCACAUUGGGACUGAGAUACGGCCCAGACUCCUACGGGAGGCAGCAGUGGGGAAUAUUGCACAAUGGGCGGAAGCCUGAUGCAGCGACGCCGCGUGGGGGAUGACGGCCUUCGGGUUGUAAACUCCUUUCGACAGGGACGAAGCUUUUGUGACGGUACCUGUAUAAGAAGCACCGGCUAACUACGUGCCAGCCGCCGCGGUAA
Molecule: ribosomal RNA, 482 nt
Filed under: uncultured Actinomycetales bacterium
Lineage: Bacteria; Bacillati; Actinomycetota; Actinomycetes; Actinomycetales
Description: bacterial SSU rRNA
Rfam family: Bacterial small subunit ribosomal RNA
Source: RNAcentral